Long non-coding RNA from Polistes dominula (European paper wasp), 574 nucleotides. The record is from RefSeq and is a predicted model, not a curated record. Lineage: Eukaryota; Metazoa; Arthropoda; Insecta; Hymenoptera; Vespidae.
AAAGAGAAAGAGAGAGAGAAAGAAAGAAAGAAGAAUAAAAGAUGAGAAAUUAAUCGGACGCGCAGACCGAACGAUAUCGAAUGGAAGCUCGCAUAGGAACUGAGGACAGAUCGGGACCAGAGGCCCGUUUCUCCCUACUCGAUGCCCACCACCAUCUUUCGUACAUAAGUCAAGAAGCGCCUCUCUAAUAUUGAACGACGACGGUGGGGCACCUUUCUCUAUACUCAUGGGGUUAACACGAAAACUUACUGGCAUAUAUUUAUGUAUAUAAAGAACAGAUAGGACCGGACGUAUAUGUGCAGAUAGUGUUAUUGCUGUUCAAGUACCAUAGAAGACAGAUCAACGUUCGCGCAGGCGGCAGAGAAACUAAGCGAGAAGGAUUUGGCGAACGUUCAAGUGCCGUCAAGAUUCAAGACGCGUGUCCCACUUGGCAACUUUCACUUACGUUGCCGUAAGAGGUACAAAUAACUACCCAAGAGUUUCGAAUAUGAUGGAAAGAGAAUCUUCCUAUUUUUCGAGGUUCUUUUUUUUUCAUUUACAACGGACCUAUCAUUGACGAGAAGAUUUAUCUAAA